Molecule: transfer RNA, 87 nt
Filed under: Candidatus Wildermuthbacteria bacterium
Lineage: Bacteria; Candidatus Wildermuthiibacteriota
Description: tRNA-Ser
Rfam family: tRNA
About the family: Transfer RNA (tRNA) molecules are approximately 80 nucleotides in length. Their secondary structure includes four short double-helical elements and three loops (D, anti-codon, and T loops).
Source: RNAcentral
GGAGGCGUGCGAGAGUGGUUGAUUCGGAUGGUUUUGAAAACCAUUAGGGCAGCAAUGUCCUCGUAGGUUCGAAUCCUACCGCCUCCG